UUAAAAUGGACUAUUUGAAACAAAUAAUUAAAAUAAAAUAUUAACAUUAAAUAAAAUAUAAAAAUAAAAAUUAAAUAAAUUAAAUAAAACAUUAAGGAAAGUAAAAAAUAUUUUUUGGUAUUUUUGUAAACAAAUAAAAUAUUUUUAAUAAUUAAAAAGAAAAACAGAAAAAUAAAAGUGAAUUAAAAAUAGAAAAAUGGAAUGAAUGUGAUAAUAUGAGUGGGCCUGG
This 229-nucleotide long non-coding RNA is filed under the name Lathyrus oleraceus (garden pea). RNAcentral's name for it is "Pisum sativum (pea) long non-coding RNA (PSAT_LNC029035)". Lineage: Eukaryota; Viridiplantae; Streptophyta; Magnoliopsida; Fabales; Fabaceae. The record is from RNAcentral.